Long non-coding RNA from Vicugna pacos (alpaca), 419 nucleotides. RefSeq lists it as uncharacterized. The record is from RefSeq and is a predicted model, not a curated record. Lineage: Eukaryota; Metazoa; Chordata; Mammalia; Artiodactyla; Camelidae.
CCCGCCGGCUGCCGCCGCCGGUCCGCCUACGUCCAGACUCCGCCCGGUUGUCCGAGUUGCGCAAUCCGUAGCCGGGGAAGCGCUACGUGGAGACCGGUCUAAGUGGAUGCCGAGCCCUGAAGCUGGGGAACUAGAGGGCGGAUCUUGACUAGGAUGCUGGACGUUCCUCAUGGGAAACCUGAGGAGGAUGCUAAAAAAUCAGCCACGGUUUACCUACUACCUGCUGCCAAGUUUCUUGAGGGCCCUGCUGUUGGGGGGCUGUGGCUGAGUUUUUAAGCAAGAGCAAGUUUCACAGCACAACACACCUCUCCUAUCCACAGAGGCUCAGAUAUGGUAAGUACUUAUGUUUGAUUUACCCUCAUUCCAUUUUGUAUGCUUACAGUCACUCUCUGGAAGGCCCAUUUCAGGCUUACGUGCCU